UACGGAGGGGGUUAGCGCUGUUCGGAAUGACUGGGCGUAAAGCGCGCGUAGGCGGAUCAGGAAGUUGGGGGUGAAAUCCCGGGGCUCAACCCCGGAAUGGCCUUCAAAACUCCUGGUCUUGAGUUCGAGAGAGGUGAGUGGAAUUCCGAGUGUAGAGGUGAAAUUCGUAGAUAUUCGGAGGAACACCAGUGGCGAAGGCGGCUAUCUGGACGGUUUCUGACACUAAGACUCGAAAGCGUGGGGAGCAAACAGG
RNAcentral lists this ribosomal RNA (253 nucleotides) under uncultured bacterium. Its description in RNAcentral is "partial 16S ribosomal RNA". It matches the Rfam family "Bacterial small subunit ribosomal RNA", at positions 524 to 776 of the family's 1533-position model. The record is from RNAcentral.